GAGAUCAUGACCUGAGCUGAAGUUGGACGCUCAACUAACUGAGCCACCCAGGUGCUCCUAUGCACACCCAUGAGAAGACUCUACCUGAAAACUAUAUUUACUGGUCUAGCAGUUGAAGAAGUCAGCUGGGUCCUCACGUAUUCCUUCUGCCAUUUCAGUGAGCAAAAAGGGAAAGGGGAAAAGGAAGCCCUGACAUUAAGUGAACGGCUGUAGAUGACGACUCAGCCAGCUGGAGGGCGCUAUCAGGAACCUGUACAGGGUGGGAACUGGAUAUAAAAUAGUCCUGGAAACAGAUUGUUUGGUCUGAGUAUAUCAUUGAAGUCCAUUUCAAAUCAGAUAUUUUCAGGGCAACUCCUCACUCCGCGCUCCCAGUUAUAAGUCUCCAGAGGGUCUGGGAGUUAGGGGGAAAGGACUGUUUUAAGACAUUCCACAAGUAAUCCUGCAAUGGCCAAGAGGAGAGACAAUUUCACACCUGCCUCUUCAAGUUGACUUUGGACUCCCAUACCUUUUUCCAUUUGGAAUCGCGUCAAUCAGUUUUACAGCUGAAGGCGGUGACGUGCUGACAGAAGGUGAAUGCUACGCGAUCUGCUUUAUGAUUACAUUUGCUGUUUACUGCUCUAAAAGUUUGGAGAAAUUAUUUUCUUUUCAAACUGGGAAUGAAAGCUUCAUAAAUAUUAAUCUCAGUUAAUAAUAUUGUGGGAACCCUGGAUGCCAGAGGUAAGUAGCACUCAGUUCAUGACAUCUUAGCUUGACAAGGGACCAGUUUUCUUAUUUGGGGAUGUGAGUCUGUCCUUGAUGUUUAUAAACUGGUUCUUGGAACUUCCUUUCUUCUCAUGACACCAUGAACCAAAAUGUAGUGAUUUGCCUUUUUCCAUCUCAUCCAUGAGAGGUGUUGUCUUUUUUUUUCUUUUUUUGGCCUUUUCUUUUCUUCCAAUAAUUUUCCUUCUGUUUGUUAAUUAUUUGGUUCCCACCUCUGUUUAUAGAUUAUAUUCCACCCACUUUAGAGUCCAUACUAUAAAAAUACCCAAAGUUUCAUUUUUGUGUCUGAAGGACACAGUGUUAAAUCUCCAAAUACAAAUAUAUAUUACCUGAGUAGCUAUUGUUACCUGACACCAUUGUCAGAACACAAUUCAUUUAUGUCUGUCCAAAUCAGCUUUCUUGAUGUUUUUAUAUCAUCACAGUUCUAAACAUAGAUAUAAAAUCUCUGUAU
Molecule: long non-coding RNA, 1210 nt
Organism: Prionailurus viverrinus (fishing cat)
Lineage: Eukaryota; Metazoa; Chordata; Mammalia; Carnivora; Felidae
Exons: 6
Source: RefSeq, a predicted model, not a curated record